CGAUUCACUAAGGCAAAACAUCUUUACAACCAAGAAAUCAUCGUUGUAACAUCAGAUGAAAACUCGGCGGUAUUCAUUAGUUAAAAUUGCGCGAUCGUAGCGCCUCAACGAUGUUGACGGCGCGUCAUAGAACUAACAUUUGGUGCCAAAUGUAUGAAAAUCGGUAUUCAGCAACACGAAACAUCCUCGCCUGCAACGACAACCUCGCCUUCGCCUUCGAUUUUAUCUGUCAAACCGAAAAGCUUGUAAAUUGUGGAUGUUUUCUUGGAUGAAGGCGAUUAAAAUAUGGCAGUUCGUCUUUCCUGUAUGAUUUUUCGUUGGAAGACACUAAACAUCAUGAUAAUUAAAUAAAUAAGAAGUCAGGCCUCCGUGA
This 373-nucleotide long non-coding RNA is filed under the name Helicoverpa zea (corn earworm). RNAcentral describes it as "uncharacterized LOC124633073". The record is from RNAcentral. Lineage: Eukaryota; Metazoa; Arthropoda; Insecta; Lepidoptera; Noctuidae.